GGGGCCGUAGUCCAGCUAGGUUAGGAUACGCGGCUCGGGCCCGCGUGGUCCGGGGUUCGAAUCCCCGCGGCCCCA
This 75-nucleotide transfer RNA is filed under the name Candidatus Bathyarchaeota archaeon. RNAcentral's name for it is "tRNA-Pro". It matches the Rfam family "tRNA". From Rfam's summary of the family: Transfer RNA (tRNA) molecules are approximately 80 nucleotides in length. Their secondary structure includes four short double-helical elements and three loops (D, anti-codon, and T loops). Further hydrogen bonds mediate the characteristic L-shaped molecular structure. tRNAs have two regions of fundamental functional importance: the anti-codon, which is responsible for specific mRNA codon recognition, and the 3' end, to which the tRNAs corresponding amino acid is attached (by aminoacyl-tRNA synthetases). tRNAs cope with the degeneracy of the genetic code in two manners: having more than one tRNA (with a specific anti-codon) for a particular amino acid; and 'wobble' base-pairing, i.e. permitting non-standard base-pairing at the 3rd anti-codon position. RNAcentral also lists the same sequence under 3 other names. Lineage: Archaea; Thermoproteati; Candidatus Bathyarchaeota. The record is from RNAcentral.